GAAAGGAAGGGGUUUUGGCUGGAUCCUGGGACCCAGCAGAAGACAAGAGCUUCAACCCUGGUUUUUUUGGACUGCUCAGGAUGAGGUGGUGCACCACCUUGAAGCUCUUGCUGCCUGCCUUCCACAGUGGACAAGAGCUUGGUGCUGUUUCAGGAAACCUGUGGGUCCACCAAGCUGGUGAGAAUCCAUCCCAGUAUCCAUCAUAGCUGCCCUGGCUGGAAACGGGAACGCGACUGGAGAAGCCAGUGUUGCCUUCCCUGCCCCGCAUCCCCUGUGGGUACCUCAGAUCCUUCUGCCACCUCCUCACUGAGAAGCAAGACAAAUCAGAGUCUGGUUGAACCGAAUCAGGCUGUAUGAAAUAGUUUCUGGUUUUAAGCACGAAGGAGGCCCAAGUCUCAGCAACAGUGGAUGGAGCAAGAUGACCUUGGGAUAAUUUGGGAAGGAGUCUUCUGAUGUUUCCUAGUGGUUUCUUUCAUUCCCGGAGUGAUUAAGUGUGAAUUUACCACGAGUUACCGAGUCCACCCCAGUCCCUGCACACAGCCCCUGGUAAGAGGAUGGGAAACUUCUUCCCUUUCAUCAGCAGCGUCAAAACCUGUUGUGGAAAGAAGGUAAGCUGGUCAACAGAGCGUGGAAUGG
Molecule: long non-coding RNA, 636 nt
Organism: Calidris pugnax (ruff)
Lineage: Eukaryota; Metazoa; Chordata; Aves; Charadriiformes; Scolopacidae
Exons: 3
Source: RefSeq, a predicted model, not a curated record